GGGUCCGUAGCUCAGGCUGGCAGAGCGGUUGGCUCUUAAAAAUUUUGGGGAGACCAAUAGGUCGAGGGUUCAAAUCCCUCCGGGCCCG
This 88-nucleotide transfer RNA is filed under the name Candidatus Omnitrophota bacterium. Its description in RNAcentral is "tRNA-OTHER". It matches the Rfam family "tRNA". From Rfam's summary of the family: Transfer RNA (tRNA) molecules are approximately 80 nucleotides in length. Their secondary structure includes four short double-helical elements and three loops (D, anti-codon, and T loops). Lineage: Bacteria; Pseudomonadati; Candidatus Omnitrophota. The record is from RNAcentral.